Long non-coding RNA from Brassica oleracea var. oleracea, 2489 nucleotides. RefSeq lists it as uncharacterized. The transcript is spliced from 8 exons. The record is from RefSeq and is a predicted model, not a curated record. NCBI's taxonomy places the organism in Eukaryota, Viridiplantae, Streptophyta, Magnoliopsida, Brassicales, Brassicaceae.
CUCUCUACCUGAAGGCUGAAGCGCACAUGUAGUGUUUACACCUCUCGUUCUUCAUCCAACGACCCUCUCGAAUCUCCUCCUCUCUGAGCCAUUGGCGAUGAUGAGUGACUGAAUAUUGCGAAUUCGAUCAAGAUUGAUGAUAUUAGGGAUUUAGAUUUACUGUGAUGACUCUUGCGUUUAAUCAUCAUGAGCUUGAUUAGGCAUACAUAGGCAAGAUAUCAGAUUUGUUCGUAGAGGGAAAGCAACACGUUACUUCAUAUCAUUAGUUUCAGGUUGUUUUGCUGCGGAGACAAAAACGUUGGAAGACGUUUGGGUAUGAGCCAUGUCGAAUGAAGGUUACGUCUCUGUCACUCUCACAUACACAAAUGUUACAUAAUACACGAAAAUUCAUAUACAAACCGACAAAAAGAAAACAGAAUACAAACACAUAAACACAAAACGCAUUCAACCACAAUAAAAAAGCAGACUACAAAACACACAUACGCAUCGUAAAGCACAACAAAACUACAAAACACGCAAACAAAACGUCAAACACAACCUAGCGAAAAAAAAACAGAAUACAAAACACUCAAAACACAGCAAAACUCGAACAUACACAAAAAUGAUCAAAACAAAAACAGUAACUCACAAGUCACAACAGAAUUUUUUUACAUACCAAUAAAUGCAAAGUCCUAACAACUACCAUAUUCAAUAGUGUUUAUCGUACCAUUUUUUCAUAUGAUAUUUGUUUCCCAUGAAUCAAAUAAUUUAGUGGUCAAGCGACUAGCUGAAAGAGGUAACUUACUCUGCUUAUUUGUGAUCGAUGAAUAUAUCUUCAGUUUAGGUAUUGUUCUCCUAAUUAUUAUCUCGUGAACAUGUUCUUGAGCUGCAGCAAACAAAAUUUUUGGAAGCAAUACAGACUCCAAGGGGUUUUACUUAAGUCAUACUUUGCUUAUCAAUUAGACUCUAAUGCUUGACAUGAAAGUCAUUUAUGUAAUUAAUAUUCAAGCUUAACUGUUUGAAAAAUUCAUUCAGGUCGCAUUUGUAGUCUUUGAUACAUUCUUAUAGUAACUCAUACACCACUACCAGGUUUCAAAUUCCGCCUCUAAAUCUCGUCUGAAGCCUGAUUUUUUGUGUGUGUGUGUGGCAGUUAGUUUUUUUCUGGUCACGUUGAAUUUAUUAACUGGCUUUCUUUCUUCCUGCUCUACUUUCCAAGAGAUUAUUCUCCGUAGAUGUGCACUAGAUCAAGGUGUGUGGGAAAGAUGGUUCUUCUUCUUGGCUCUCCUAUCCUGAUGUUUUUACUUUUGCCUUGGAUCUCUUCUUACGGUGGUUGCUAGGUAUCUCCUAUUGUCAAACCUUGAACAAUGACCAUUCAUGUUUCACUCAUUAAUCUUGCUCCGGGGGACUUUUAGGUGACAUCUUUUAUUAAUUGUGUGGUUAUGAUUUUUGAGCUAGUUAGAUUCUGGCCUUGUUAAGUGACAGAGAGAACUCCAAUGAACAAUGGGAAAUAAAGGUUUUGAUUGAAGUCUUCAAGCUAUUCUUUAAGAUGGUGAUGAUGCACAACCAAAUAUCUCACGUGGAGUUUUGGCCUUCUUUUCAGAAAUGAAUCACUUACAAUGAGCUGGUUGCGAUCGCUCUAACCUCUCCAGAUAAGUAAGAGACUUCUACCAUUUUAUAGGUUCAAGAGUGGGCUAGUGUAACGUUUCGAGAAUUCUGACUUGGAUGAAUUUGUGGAUGUAAGUCAAGGUAACUUGUCUUUGCGUUCUUUUCUUUUCUUUGGCAGCCACACGACUCUCUGUUGCAGAUCGGCACAACUUACUGCUGCUGGAUCUAUAAAGGAAACAUUAACAAGAUUUGACCAAAACUCUCAGAAAGAGCUAUAUCACUUAAGGAUGCAACUUGCUUGGGAUCAAUUUUGAGAACUUUCGUCCACUUGGGAGAGACGAUCAUUUUUCUUAUUACUUCUUUUAAAGAUGUUCAGAUUUUUGAGUUUCAGAAGCUGUAAAGGCAAAUCAUCAGUCCAGCAGAACCAGUGAGAGUUGGGUAAAUCUCUCUGUCUCUCUUCUCAUGUAUAAAACUACUUACACCAACUCACACAAACAAAAAUCAAAACGUCACGAACACUCAACAAAUCACAAAAAAACUAACACAAAAAUACCGAAUUAAAAGAAUUUCACAAACACUCAACAAAAUCACAAAAACUAACACAGUAAAUACAGAAAUAAAACUACACCAUGCCACGAAAUAAAUUACAAAACUCGACAAAAAAAGACGCGACACGAACAAAACAAAACAACUUCACAAUCACCACAAGACGAGAAUUAUCAUGGGCACUUUUUUUUUUCUAUACGAAAGACUUGUAUACUUCUUAUUUUCUUAUUAUGUUGAAUGCUUCUUUUUUACUUGCUUGAGGUUUGUUGGAUUUAAAAAACUUGAGUUUAAUAUCGUCUAAACAUUGUGUAAAAAAUAAUUGAUUCACGAUUUAUGAGGAUAUCUAUCGGUUCAGUUUA